RNAcentral lists this ribosomal RNA (253 nucleotides) under uncultured bacterium. RNAcentral describes it as "partial 16S ribosomal RNA". It matches the Rfam family "Bacterial small subunit ribosomal RNA", at positions 524 to 776 of the family's 1533-position model. The record is from RNAcentral.
UACAGAGGUCUCGAGCGUUAGGCGGAAUCACUGGGCUUAAAGCGUGUGUAGGUGGAUCGGUAAGUACCUUGUGAAAUCCCACGGCUUAACCGUGGAACUGCUUGGUAUACUGCCAGUCUUGAGCCAGCUAGGGGCUACCGGAACAAAUGGUGGAGCGGUGAAAUGCGUAGAUAUGUGGAGGAACACCAAUGGCGAAGGCAGCCCCCUGGGUCAACACUGACGCUCAUGCACGAAAGCGUGGGGAGCAAACAGG